Molecule: ribosomal RNA, 400 nt
Filed under: uncultured bacterium
Lineage: Bacteria
Description: bacterial SSU rRNA
Rfam family: Bacterial small subunit ribosomal RNA
Source: RNAcentral
GGGGAAUAUUGGACAAUGGGCGCAAGCCUGAUCCAGCAAUGCCGCGUGAGUGAUGAAGGCCUUCGGGUCGUAAAGCUCUUUUACCAGGGAUGAUAAUGACAGUACCUGGAGAAUAAGCUCCGGCUAACUCCGUGCCAGCAGCCGCGGUAAUACGGAGGGAGCUAGCGUUGUUCGGAAUUACUGGGCGUAAAGCGCACGUAGGCGGUUACUCAAGUCAGAGGUGAAAGCCCGGGGCUCAACCCCGGAACUGCCUUUGAAACUAGGUGACUGGAAUCUUGGAGAGGCGAGUGGAAUUCCGAGUGUAGAGGUGAAAUUCGUAGAUAUUCGGAAGAACACCAGUGGCGAAGGCGACUCGCUGGACAAGUAUUGACGCUGAGGUGCGAAAGCGUGGGGAGCAAAC